Molecule: long non-coding RNA, 1278 nt
Organism: Cucurbita maxima (winter squash)
Lineage: Eukaryota; Viridiplantae; Streptophyta; Magnoliopsida; Cucurbitales; Cucurbitaceae
Exons: 4
Source: RefSeq, a predicted model, not a curated record
AUAUAAUUAUUAAUUACAUCCUUGAUUAAUAAAUAAUAAGUUUCGGUUUUAUUUAAUUUCUGUUCGGGUAGUUUGACACGUCACUUCACCUUCCCGCGAGACGAAGCCCUAACUUCCCACGCUCUGUUUUAGCGUUUUUCACGUUCUUUCAUUUUUUGACAUUGAGAAGAAAACGGCGCGAAGCAAAUGUCGCGUCGUGAAAUUCGGGAAUCCGACUCCAAUCGCCAUCGUUCCAGAUUCGAUGGAGAACCCAGUCCCAAGAGGUCAAGGAGGGACAGGGAAACAUUAGAGAGAAGUUAUCUAGAAACUCUAGUUCUCAUGUUGAAGAUAAUAAAGAUCGGGAUCAGAAACAUGGGCUUCAACAUGAGGGGCAAGAUAUGAUACCCCAUGAGUGUUCAUCAGCACUUGAUUCUAAGCCAGAAUAUGGGGUUAGCAAAGGAGUAAACAGGAACAGUGAUAGGAGGGAUGGAGGGACUAAACAUUCAAUGAAUCCCACUGAAGUACCACGAUCAAGAUCUUAUUUUCAGGGAGACUGCUGCAAAAUAUGGGCAUAAAAAUUACCUGACUUGGUCUUCUUCGAGAUAUCGUUGUGCCUUCCCGGAUAUAAAUGAACUAUUGUGGGGAUUUCCUAUGAAUUUCAUGAAAUUCAUGAUCUACAUUAUAUUUCAUUCAAAUAUGUUGGAUGCAAUACAAGUGUUCAUAAACCGCAGCCAAUGUCUUCUUGAAGUGAAAUGAGGGAUUUUUUUGAAGAGCCUGUUUAAAGUAGGCAUCUCAGCCAGAGCAUUUCCUUCCUUGAUAAAAUAAAGCCGUAGGAUAUGUUGUAACAUGCUUUUUGUUGGGUCAACAAAUGAAUACAUAUAUUUUUUGAGAUCUUUUAUUUUGAUAGCUAUGGAAUUUCAUCAUCCACAUUACUAAAACUAAAUAGCUUAUCUCAGUAAUAAUUCUCUCUUCUCUGUAUUUCUAUCUCCUUCCCCUGCUUUUCCCAUUCUUUGCUGCAAUUUAGAUUCCCCAACAUUUUGCUAACAUUUUGCUGGGCUGAUGUUAUUGGAAUCUUCUUCAUCCCUGUGCCUUCAAGUGCAUCCUUGUAUAUUACUUAGGCUUGCCUGCGCAUGUCUUAUAACAGCAUGUCAAACGUGGUAAUGAUGGGCAAGUUGGUCGAAGCUUUGGUCGGAGUGCAACUAGGGUUACACAAAGGACACGAUGUUUAGUCUACUCCUUGUAACUUUGAUCAAAGCUAUUGCGCAUGUAUUAUUGUUGUUGUUAUUGUUAUUUUGAAUC